UAUUACCGCGGCUGCUGGAACAACGCCGCGCGAGACAAGAAGGUCUUCGGAUCGUAAAACUCUGUUGUUAGAGAAGAACACGAGUGAGAGUAACUGUUCAUUCGAUGACGGUAUCUAACCAGCAAGUCACGGCUAACUACGUGCCAGCAGCCGCGGUAAU
RNAcentral lists this ribosomal RNA (160 nucleotides) under Ligilactobacillus salivarius. RNAcentral describes it as "Lactobacillus salivarius partial 16S rRNA". It matches the Rfam family "Bacterial small subunit ribosomal RNA", at positions 359 to 524 of the family's 1533-position model. Lineage: Bacteria; Bacillati; Bacillota; Bacilli; Lactobacillales; Lactobacillaceae. The record is from RNAcentral.